GCCAGUGUGGUGUAGUGGUUUGGAUGUUGGACUAGGACCCUGGAGAGUGGGGUUCAAAUCCCCACUUAGCG
Non-coding RNA from Phrynosoma platyrhinos (Desert horned lizard), 71 nucleotides. NCBI's taxonomy places the organism in Eukaryota, Metazoa, Chordata, Lepidosauria, Squamata, Phrynosomatidae. The record is from the annotation of a GenBank genome assembly.